GUGAAUCAUCGAAUCUUUGAACGCAAAUUGCACUCUCCUCGGAGAGUAUGCCUGUUUGAGGGUCAGCCUAUAAAAAAUCGACAUCGUUGCUGUUUCGCGGUGACGUUCGUCGGAAAUUGGGUCAUCUUAAAUCCUUUUGGUUUUAAGCCACUUAAAAUUUUCUUUUUUUUUCUAUGAACUUUUCUAAGUUUUAUUUUUUCACACGUUUAAGAGC
RNAcentral lists this unclassified non-coding RNA (214 nucleotides) under Glomeraceae sp. RNAcentral's name for it is "partial contains 5.8S ribosomal RNA and internal transcribed spacer 2". The stretch from base 1 to 65 matches the Rfam family "5.8S ribosomal RNA", at positions 84 to 154 of the family's 154-position model. The record is from RNAcentral. Lineage: Eukaryota; Fungi; Glomeromycota; Glomeromycetes; Glomerales; Glomeraceae.